CUUCAAGAAGGGAGUUUUUCCUUCCCACUGUUGCUGAGUGUUUGCUCAUAGUGGGUUGUAAAAGCAUAAAAGUUAAUAAGAGGCAUUCAUAGCAGAGUUAUCACAGCGGGAACUAUAUAGCUUAAAUGUACAAUUUCUACAGGACGAAUUAUAACUUCAUUAUGUAUAAAAGCUCCUGUGGAUAAUUACUCCUAUUUGUAACUUUACACAAGAGAAAGUUUGCUGUCACACUAUUUAUAACAGGUUGGAUUUUGUCCUCUGAGUUGAGCCUUUGGUUGCAGUUUAUUGAAGAAUUUCCUCUAAAGUAGCUGUUGAUAAAGAUUUAAAGUCCUGUUUAUAUACAGAAAUAUGCUUUAGUUCAUGUUUUUUUACAUGUCUGCCUCAGUGGAUCAGUAGAAGAUCUGGCACAGGAAACUAGAUGAUGAAAAAAGGGGCGGAACUCAUGGUGGGUUCACGCCCUCGGCCCACGCCCCUCUGAAGAGGAAACACCUGGGCCUCAUCAGUGCAGCCAGCAUUUAAGCCAGGGAGUGGCUUCUACUCAUCGCUGGAUCGUUGUGUGUGACUCGCAUCCCCUGGACCCGACUCUGCAUUCCCCGAGCGGAUUCCCUUUUUGUGUGAGUGUUUGGAGAGAGAGUCAGAAGAGGAGCAAGUGUCUUUCCCCUACCUGGAUUUCCC
This is a long non-coding RNA of Oreochromis niloticus (Nile tilapia), 675 nucleotides long. RefSeq lists it as uncharacterized. The record is from RefSeq and is a predicted model, not a curated record. The transcript has 3 exons. NCBI's taxonomy places the organism in Eukaryota, Metazoa, Chordata, Actinopteri, Cichliformes, Cichlidae.